AAUGGCAAACCGCUCUUGUAUCUCUGCCAAGAAAACCCCAAAUGGGGUCACGGAGAGUCAGACAACAAUGAGAGGAGUCCUAAAAUAACAAUAACUCAUGAAAUGAACCCUAGAAUAGAGGACUUCUGAUCCGUGCUGUAGUGGAAAGGAUUUUGGUCUUUUGAAUGCACCCAGUGGGUCCACAAGUAAAAUGUAAAAGCAAUGUGUGGAGAUAUAAACGUGCAACAUUACUUUUCACAUCAUUUAUUUCAGUGCGGUGGUGCAGCUCUGAAUUAAAACUCAGGGACCGAAUUAAUAGCCAAAAGGGAUUGGUGAAAAAUGCAGUGCCUUAUUUGGUUCCAUAAAAGAAAAAAAAACGGCAAAAAAGUAAUUCUACUCAGUGCCUUGCUCUGCUCUGUGGUGAAACUUUGAAUUACAAACUCAGGUACUAAAUGAAUUCAGCCAAAGAGUGAAAGGGGGGAAUGCUGCCUUCUAAGGCUCUAAAAUAUGGACUAAUCAGGCAAAACAAGUUAUGCCAAGCUGUGCCUUGUCUGCUCUGUGGUGAAUCUUUACAUUAAAACUCAGGUACUAAUCCAAUAUAACUAACCGGGAAAGGGGGGAAUGCUGCCUUCUAUGGCUCUAAAAUACGGACUAAUCAGGCAAAACAAGUAAUCCCAAGCCGUGCCUUGUCUGCUCUGGUGAUCCUUUGAAUUACAACUCACUCAGGUACAAAUCCGAAAUAUCCAAAGAGGGAAUGGAGGGAAUUCAGUGCCUUCUCAGGCUCCAUAAAGCGGAAAAAAACCGGGUAAAAUAAUUCCAUGCAGUGCCUUGCUUUGCUCUGUGGUGAAUCUGAAUUAAAACUCAGGUACUAAAUGAAUUCAGCCAAAGAGUGAAAGGGGGGAAUGCUGCCUUCUAAGGCUCUAAAAUAUGGACUAAUCAGGCAAAACAAGUUAUCCCAAGCCGUGCCUUGUCUGCUCUGGUGAUCCUUUGAAUUACAACUCACUCAGGUAUUAAACCAAUACAGCCAACAGCAAAAGAAAAAAAAUGCAGUGCCUUCUCCGGCUCCAUAAAAAGGAAACAAAACGGGUAUUAUUUCCAUGCAGUGCCUUGAUUUGCUCUGGUGAUCCUUUGAAUUACAACUCAGGUAUUAAACCAAUACAGCCAAAGAGGAAAAGGGUGCAGUGCCUUCUCUGGCUCCAUAAAUUAGGAAACAAAACGGGUAUUAUUUCCAUGCAGUGCCUUGACUUGCUCUGUGGUGAACCUUUGAAUUAAAACUCAGGUACUACUAAUCCAAUAAGAGGAAAGAGGGAAUGCUGCCUUUUAUGGCUCUAAAAUAAGGAAAAAUCAGGCAAAACAAGUAAUGCCAAGUAGUGCCUUGUUCUGCUCUGUGGUGAUCCUUUGAAUUAAAACUCAGGUACUAAAUCAAUUCAGCCAAAGACGGAAAGGGGGAAAUGCAGUGCCUUCUCAGGCUCCAUAAAAAGGAAACAAAACGGGUAUUAAAAUUAUUUCCAUGCAGCGCCUUGAUUUGCGCAGUGGUGCAGCUCUGUAUUAAAAAAAACUCAGGGAACUGGGCCCAACAUAGCCAAAGGGGAUUGGUGAAAAUGGAGUGCCUUAUUUGGUUCCAUAAAGAAAAAAAAACGGGCAAAAAAGUAAUUGCAAGAAGUGCCUUGAUCAGGUCGUGAAUCACACAAAGAGGAAACGUGAACAUACUGUGCCUAGUCUGGCUUCCCCCCCUAAAAAAAAAAAGAAAAGAAAAAACCCGACCAAAAAGUAAGCCCAAGCAGUGCCUUGAAGGGGUACAAGCUGCAACCUAUGUUCAUGAUGCUGCUCUGAAUUAAAAUUCCCGUACUGAAUCACAAAAGCAAAAUGGAAAGGUGAACAGACAGUGCCUAAUCUGACUCCAAAAGAAAAGAGAGAAAAAAAAAACCUGCCCAAAAAGUAAUUGCAUGCAGUAUCUUGAAGGCCAAAAGUUGCUGUGACUAUUACUGUUAUUGUUAAUGAAAGGGCUGUAUUUAUUGGAAAAAGAUAAGGUAAGUACAUGAUAUCGAAAAGGGAAACAAUUUAUGAUUUUAACGAAUUCUGUUGCGGAGACACAUACAUAAUAGAGUCAAAUUGGAUAAGACCCUCGAAUGGGUGAUGAGGGAGAGUCUUUAAAACUAGAUCAUGGGGUUUCUAGAACCCACUCUUCUGCUUUAAGAACAUAUAUGGGAGAUUAGAGAAAGCUGAGAAAAUGGAGUUUCACAGGCUCUGAAUGGCAAAACAUGGAAGACAAAGUAUCAGACCUUGAAAAACAGGUGGGACAUUGAAUGUCCUAAAAUGAACGAACUCGGAAGCCAAUUCGAAUCGAGAGUCCCUGAGGCAAAUUGGGCCCCGGAAGCUAGAAUAUCAAACCUGGGAGGAACUUUAGAGCACAGAAAAUGAGAGUUGAUCAGAGCCAGAGCAAUCUGAGAUGUAAGACCUGGAAAAGGUCACAGAGAAAGAGAAUGUCAGCGUUGGCCACCAUUUAAGAACAAGGGAUACCAAUAGAACGGGACAACUUGAGAACUAGUUUGGGCCAUGAAGCAUCAGAGUUGGGAGGGCAAAGAGGGUUUCAGCCUAUGUGCUCAGACUUCCAAACUGUGAGGAAGAUGAGGGAAAUUUAAAAAACAAGGACAGCACCUUUAUUGUAGGAGAUGCACGUUUGUUUCGAUGGAAUUUCUAAGCGAACAAUGGCAGUGCUUUGAAUGAAAACUGGUCUAAACACAACCAGAUGCUAUCGCCUUAGAUGACUUGAAACAAAGCAAAACCAAAAAACCUGCCAAACUAAUUCCAUGCCCAAAAGAUAUUCUAGUAAGACUACCAUGAAUAUUCCUAUAAUUUGGUAGUGAACGAUGACUGUUUAUUGAAACAGUCUCUUUCUAAUAAAACCCCCUUUGAAAAAUGGGAUGCCAUUCGUGAUCUCAUAUCACUGUAUUGUCAAGGCAUAUAUAAUUUGCUAGAACAAAACAGUAAGAUAAAAAGAAUCCUUGAAUGUAGCAGGAAUGAGAGGGUUUUCAACAUAAAAUGACAGCUAGGAGAGCCUUUAGAUAGAACGUACAAUGUCUGAUGUGGAGGGGCAUUUCAAGAGAACACAUAAAAUUUCAAACCUGGGAGGGCAGGUAAGACCUAGAAUGUCUAUGUUUGGAGGAAAUUUAAAAUCAAGAGUGCCCAAGAUGAAUGGUGCCGUGAAAGGUGGAAGAGUGAAAAUGAGAGAGACCUUAGAACAUAGAACCUGUAAGAUGUUCCGAGCUGGAAAAGAGAAUUUGUCUGAUUCCGCAGGAUAUGAGCAUAUGGAAUGUCAGAGAACACCAAGGAAGGGGGUAAAGAGUUAGAGUUGUUGUGAGGAUCAAAGGAAACAAUAUUUGGAAAGCAUUUUAGCACGGUGCCUAGGGCUAGACUGCCUAGGUGCUAUAUAUAUGUUAGUUAUUACCUCCUAGGAAAGCCUGUAGAACAUACAAACAGACAAACCGUCCUUUUAAAUUGAGUGUCAGAGCUGAGAGGGUCCUGAGAACACAUGAUAUCAUUUCUAGGAAGGGGACUCCUUAGUGUGUCAUGGGGAUGGAUGGGAAAAAAAUUUAAAAAUAAUUAUAUUUAUGUUAUGUGGAACAAUAUCUAUUUCAAUAUAAUUUAUUUUUUUUCAAUAUAAUUUAACAUCAGUACAAUGGUGAUGACCUACUCCCUUCCUGGAACUCACAGAGAGUAAAGGUGACCAGCCAAUGUCUAAUCAUGCUCCAGUUUAAAAAAGGAAAAAAUAAUUGAAAGCCCAGGAAUUGCAGGCAGUAUUUUGAAGGCUUAAAGGCUGCAGUGGAUAGCAUUAUUGUUGUUAAUGAAUGGUCAGCAUUCACCAAGAAAAUGAAGUACAGGCUCUGAAUGACAAGACUAGGAGUUGUUGGGGAAGCCGGACUCUAAGAACUCAGAGGAUAUGUUGAACGUAGAAUGCCAUUCAAUGAAUUAAGUUGGAGGAAAUUUAGAAUCUAGAAGGCCUGGGCUAGAAGGGACCCUGGUAUGUCAAAGGUGGAAGAACUUUAGGUCAUGGAAAGUGAUAAGAUUUUCAGAAGCUGAGAACAGAAAUUGUCUGAUUCCGUGGGAUGUGAGCACAUAGAAUGUUUGGCCUGGGAGAAGCCAGAGAGCACAGAAUGUCAGAGCAGGCAAGAAGACAUUUAGAAAAAGGGAUACCAGAGUCAGGAAAGCUCUUAGAAUCUAAGACGUAGAUCAUACAAUGUCAGGAAUAAGAGUAGCUGGAAAACGUCAGCAUGUCAGAGCUAAGGAAACUCUUAGAACAGAGACAGAGCUCAGAUGGUCCCUAGAACACACAGAGCCAUUGCUCGGUUCCCGUGUAUGAGGAGAGACAGGUAAAACUGAAGAAUAAGAAGAAAGGAUAUUUAAGGUUUGACAUACGGCAUGUUUCACUAUAACAUCAGCACAAUACUGGUGCUCUGAUUUCAAAAUCAGAAUCGAAACACUGCCACUAAGGAAAGGCAGACAUAUAUUACCCUAGCAGGCUGACAAUCCAGAAACAUAAAAAUACUUUGAGGGAGGGGGGAAAUCCAAAUUCUGCGCACUUCCUUAAUCAGGUAAAGGUGGAAUUGGCAUCUCCUUUUUGGUAACUAAUAGGGGAUGUUUAACUGAAACCAGUAAGGUGUUAAGUGCCCUGUUUUAAUAGGGACACUAUUUGUGAUUUUAAAUAAUUGUAUUGCUCAGAGAAAUAUGUAACACAAUAUACAAAACUAAAUAGAGAGUGAAAAGAGGGGGAAAAAACCUUUAAAUAUCACCAGCAUGAGAGGACUUUGAAUAUAAAAAUAAGAAAGUUGGGAGAAGCUUUGGAGAUGUGUUGGAUGAUAGAUAGCAAUUAGAAUUGAGAAUUUCCACACUGGGAUGACGGAUCCAGGCUCAGAAGCCAGAACAGCACACCUGAGAAGGCCUGUAGACAUAGAAUGCUGAGCUUAGAGGCAAUUUAAUACCAAGAAUACCUGAACUGGAUGGCGCCUUCCUACCCCUAGUAUCAAACAAGUGAGGGACCUCAAAACCUAUAACGUGGGAGAUAAUUGUCUUAAUUCAGUAUGUUCUGAACACAUAGUGAGUCCCAGGAGAAGCCAUAGAGAAGGGAAGGCCAGAGUUGGGAAGGUAAUUAGAAAGACAGAUCAUCAGAGCUCAGAAAGCCUUGAGGCUAUACGAUUUCAGGCCUGCAUUUGACCAAAAAAAAACUGCACAGUGUCAGAGCAGCUCUUAGCAGAGCUCUGUCGAUCCAGAAAACACACCGUAUCAUUUUUGGGAAGGAAUCGUGUCUAAGUUGUAGGGAGAGAAAGGCAAAUUUUCAAAAAGAUUCAAAAGUAUGUUUAUUGAAUAAAAUCUGACACGAUACCUAUCGAUAAGCACGAAGUGGUGAUCCUUGAAUCAGACAGCCAAAGUACAAAUCUGAAAAGCAAGGGCUUAAACUGGAUUCGAAGAAAAACAAUGGAAUGAAAAACAAAAUAACUGACCCCAAAGUAAAAAUAUGCAGGAUUUUAAAGGGGGGAAGACUGUCGUAGAUAUUACAAUUAUCGUUCACAAAUGGGCCAAAUUUAUUUUUUUUAAAAGGUAAGUAUAUAGGAUUCCCAAGGGAAAUAUUUUGUGAUGUUAAAUAAUUGUAUUGCUAAUACUCAUUUAAUAUACUAAAUAUACAAUUAUCAUUUAAUAUACUAAAGCUAAGUAAAUGAAAAGAAAAAAAACUAGAAUAUCAGAGGACAAAAAGGCUUUUGAGCAUAAAAUACUUAGGAUGGAAGGGACUUUAGAAACUAUAACGUCUGCCUUGGAAGGGUCUUUUAAGAGAAUAUAUUGGUUGAUGAAUAGAGCUAAAAAAUGGAGAAUUUCAGGGCUGGGAUGGCAGUCCAGGCUCUGAGUACCAGAAUCAGGCAUAGAAGCCCGAAUCUGAGACUUGCGAAGGUGGAACCUUCUGUGGAGACAAUUUAGAAACAAGGAGCCUCUGUUAGAUGGGGCCUUCCGGCCUAGCAUAGCAAACUCAGGGGUGACGUCAGAAUUCAAAGUGAGACCUGGUCAGAGCCACAGAACUGAGACUGUCUGAAAGAGGUCCGAAAGAAGAGAAUGUCAGAGCUAGCUAGGCAGGUAGAAGAAGACCUGAAAGCCUUAAAGCAUGAAACUUCAGGACUAGCUUUGGCCAUAAAAUCAUACCGUGUCAGAGCUAGGAGGGCUCUUAGAACAUAGGUGAGAAAAUCUCAGAUGGUCUUGAGGAUACACGAUGCCAUUGUUAGGAACGAGUUUUGUUUCUACACUCAGAGGUUAACUUCUGGGGAAGGAGAGGCAAAUGUAAAUGAUGGGAGACAAGGUUUAUUUACAGUAUGAACCAAGAUUUAUGUCAGCACAAAGCUGAUCUGAAUUAAAACAGACUGCAGAAAAUCAGAGGGGAAG
This is a long non-coding RNA of Gracilinanus agilis (Agile Gracile Mouse Opossum), 6402 nucleotides long. RefSeq lists it as uncharacterized. The transcript is spliced from 12 exons. The record is from RefSeq and is a predicted model, not a curated record. NCBI's taxonomy places the organism in Eukaryota, Metazoa, Chordata, Mammalia, Didelphimorphia, Didelphidae.